RNAcentral lists this ribosomal RNA (253 nucleotides) under uncultured bacterium. RNAcentral's name for it is "partial 16S ribosomal RNA". It matches the Rfam family "Bacterial small subunit ribosomal RNA", at positions 524 to 776 of the family's 1533-position model. The record is from RNAcentral.
UACGUAGGAUGCAAGCGUUGUCCGGAUUUACUGGGCGUAAAGAGCGCGCAGGCGGUGCGAUCAGUCGAAUGUGAAAGCCCCCGGCUCAACUGGGGAGGGUCAUUCGAUACUGUCGGACUCGAAGGCAGGAGAGGGAAGCGGAAUUCCCGGUGUAGUGGUGAAAUGCGUAGAUAUCGGGAGGAACACCAGUGGCGAAGGCGGCUUCCUGGCCUGUUCUUGACGCUGAGGCGCGAAAGCUAGGGGAGCAAACAGG